CUGACUUUCGGUGGAAUCAGUGCUUGAAGCUGUGGAGACGAAGGCCAGCGCCUGGCAGGGGGGCCACAGGGGAGGCGCGCUGUCCCCGAGGUUAGAAUUUACUAGAAAUGUCGUCCAGAGCUGAAGAACCUGAUGCAGCGGCUGGGCUGCCCUCCCUGGGACCCUAAAGGACAAAGUGGCCUGUGGCACAGCCCGUCUCCCUGCCAGUGGAUGAUAAAGAAAAGGCAUGGUGCCAGGAUCACGCUGCUCUGUAACGUGAGCGUCGGCCUCUCCAGAUGCUGCCAUCAGGGACCACAGGUGGAGGGAGAGGCCUGCACAGCCCGAGAGCACCGGCCGGGUCAGGCCUGCAGCAUCCCAACGGGCACACGGCACUUGCUGCUGCUCCGGGCCCAGGGCUCUCCUGUGGCGGUGGCGACACGGCCCGGCCACCACAGUUGGAGCUGCUGACCAUGACAUGGAGGACAUCACGAGCCUGCCCGGCCUUCCACGCCAUGCUCGCCCCCCAGCAGAACUGCCCAGCUGCACGGCUGCCAGCUUGAGGCACUCGUUGGAGAGACUGACAAUGUGCCCAGGCUUGGUUGCACUUGACAGAGGUCUGCCUGUUUUUGGAAAAGAGGGUGAAGAGCCUGUUUCCUCUGGGAUCCUGGACAUAUCUGCACGGCAGAGCCUGCACUGAUGGGAACAGCGCUCACGAACACCAGUGCUGGGACCAGGUGCCUGGGUUCCGGUCCCUGUUUGGACUCACUCGGCUGUGACAGCAGUUUGCAUUUCAGUGUAUUCUGGCAUGUAAUUCCCACCAACUCAAGGAAAUCCUGUUAGGACGUCUGUAAUUUUUCACAUUGGAACGACCAGACUCGACCACUAGGUGCUACUGAGGAUAAGAGAAGGCUGGAGCAGUCCUUUUGGGGACCUGACCUCUGAGCAAGGGCAGCAGGUGGGACGCACGUGGGAACGUCCCCCAAGGAGCUGGCUUGCUGCGUCGCAGAGGUGGCUCUUCUGCCAGCCCCAUGACAAUACCAAUCGUGACAUGAGUGGGUGAGUGCCUGACACCCCACAACGGAGGGAAAAGGAGCCCACGCUGCCACAGAAAACAGCCCAUUUUAACGUUUCGAAGUUCUUAGCAUGCUCAGGGCUUACUGUAUUCCUAGAAAAAAAA
Manis javanica (Malayan pangolin) is the source of this 1156-nucleotide long non-coding RNA. RefSeq lists it as uncharacterized. NCBI's taxonomy places the organism in Eukaryota, Metazoa, Chordata, Mammalia, Pholidota, Manidae. The record is from RefSeq and is a predicted model, not a curated record.